CUGUUGACAUAAACUUUGCAUAAGUCGUCAUUAUUCAGCCGCAGCAAGUUCUUGCGAAAAAGGGUCAUCGGCUUCCCAUUUUGACGGGAUAGAGGCAUAUUUUGUUGAACCACACAAACGGUGAGAAGAGGUAGAAAUAAAGAGGGGGAUUGCAACUGGAAGGAGAUGGAAGUCCACAAACUCUGCCAAUGUGUGCCAUUGAACAAGAAAUCUCUUUUAGUAUGAAGAUUGUUCAAGAGUCAAGACUGUUGAAGACGUGACGUCAUGGACCUGGUUGCACAUGGCAAGUGAACUAUCUGGCUGUACCCUGAAGUAUUCUCUUUAAGAUUUGAAAAUUAUCAAAAGUACUAAUUUUCAUUUUUUCAGAGAUAAUAAUCAUUAUAUUGACAUUGUGGAUAUCUUUUUAUGAUUGUUAUCAUAAAAUUAUUAUGUUAAUGAUGAUAGGUCAUAAUAAUACAAAUGAAUAAUAAGUAGAAAAGAAGACAACCAAAAAGGAGGAGGAAAAGAAGAAGAUGAAGAAGAAAAAGAAGAGGAGGGGUGGAAGAGGAGAAAAGGAGAAGAAGAAUAAAUAACAUCACUGUGAGUUCCUCUUCAUGAUAUUACAUAAAUUUUUGUCUCUUUUAAAUGGAAAUAUUUAUUAAGCAUAAAAAUAGGAUUUAGUUAUUCUUGUUUUUUAAGAUGUAUUAUUAUGUAUCAUGUUUGUAGUUGUACACUUGAUUGAGGUACAUGUAUUGUAUUCAUUUAUGAUAUAACUAUGUUUUAUUUGAAUCCAUGUACCUCUUUAAAUCAUAUUUAUACAGUCAUGAUUAAAGGACAUGGGAAAGGUAACAAAAUUGCAUUGUUUUACAAAUUUUACUGUGUAUUUAUUUUAAAAGUAAUAAAUUUACAUAAAAUGUCAUUCUUUUUGUUUCAUCUCUUUGUUCGUUUUUUUAUUGAAUCGGGAGGGGGUGGGGUGUGGUUAAAAUAUGAUUUGCCCCUCAGAACACACUUGUUUCCCUACUAGAAAUAGUAAUUAAUAUUUGUAGAAAAUUGUAUGAUUGUUUUUUUAUGAACUCUGAAUAUUGUCCCAUAAAUUGUCAAAUUAGGAAAAUAAUUGAUUGAGAUGAAGAUUUGAAGUAGCAAGGGCGAGAAAUUAAAAGGAAAUUUCAUAUAAAAGUGAGAAAGAUCCAGAGAUGCAAAGAUUAUACUGUAUAAGGAAUAAUGAGAGAGAAAGGGGGGGCGAGGUGAAUUAGAAUGGGAAAAGGGAAAGAAAAAAAAACUAUGAAUGUGAAGGAGUCAUUAACAGAGAUAGAUAUAUUGAGAAUUGGAGAGAUAAGUUCCGAGAAUGAUAGUGGGCCAAUCUCGGAGGGAGGAUGAUAAUGAAAGGGGAAAAGAGGAUAAAGCAUUUUUUUUGGGGGGGGGAUUACAUUUGAUGAGAGAGAGAUAGAAAGAAAAUGGCCAGGUGCUCAAAGAUGAAAAAAUAUAAAUGAUGGGUGACAGAGGUAUGGAUCAAGGGAUAUAGGUGGCAUGAACGUGCCCCAAUUUAGGGACAAAGCUUUGAUGAGUAGUGGUCCCUCAUGUUCACUCCUCUUGGAAUUUGGACAAUAAGUGGGCAUUUUUUUAAAGUCCCCCCCCCCCCCCUAACUCGCUCUAUCUCCAAUUGCCAGUUUUGGGCAAGAAAAACCCCUUUUUUUAUUCUAUCUUGGCAAAAAACCCAAACCAUCUGAUUAGACCUUUGGUCGGA
Molecule: long non-coding RNA, 1723 nt
Organism: Lytechinus pictus (painted urchin)
Lineage: Eukaryota; Metazoa; Echinodermata; Echinoidea; Temnopleuroida; Toxopneustidae
Exons: 3
Source: RefSeq, a predicted model, not a curated record